GAUGAACGCUGGCGGCGUGCCUAAUACAUGCAAGUCGAGCGAACCCUUCGGGGUUAGCGGCGGACGGGUGAGUAACACGUGGGCAACCUACCUUGUAGAUGGGGAUAACAUCGAGAAAUCGGUGCUAAUACCGAAUAAUACUUUACUCCUCAUGGAAGAAAGUUAAAAGUUGGCUUUUGCUAACACUACGAGAUGGGCCCGCGGCGCAUUAGCUAGUUGGUGAGGUAACGGCUCACCAAGGCGACGAUGCGUAGCCGACCUGAGAGGGUGAUCGGCCACACUGGGACUGAGACACGGCCCAGACUCCUACGGGAGGCAGCAGUAGGGAAUCUUCCGCAAUGGACGAAAGUCUGACGGAGCAACGCCGCGUGAGUGAUGAAGGCUUUCGGGUCGUAAAACUCUGUUGUUAGGGAAGAACAAGUACCGUUCAAAUAGGGCGGUACCGUGACGGUACCUAACCAGAAAGCCACGGCUAACUACGUGCCAGCAGCCGCGGUAAUACGUAGGUGGCAAGCGUUAUCCGGAAUUAUUGGGCGUAAAGCGCUCGCAGGCGGUUUCUUAAGUCUGAUGUGAAAGCCCACGGCUCAACCGUGGAGGGUCAUUGGAAACUGGGAGACUUGAGUGCAGAAGAGGAGAGUGGAAUUCCACGUGUAGCGGUGAAAUGCGUAGAGAUGUGGAGGAACACCAGUGGCGAAGGCGACUCUCUGGUCUGUAACUGACGCUGAGGAGCGAAAGCGUGGGGAGCAAACAGGAUUAGAUACCCUGGUAGUCCACGCCGUAAACGAUGAGUGCUAAGUGUUAGAGGGUUUCCGCCCUUUAGUGCUGAAGUUAACGCAUUAAGCACUCCGCCUGGGGAGUACGGUCGCAAGACUGAAACUCAAAGGAAUUGACGGGGGCCCGCACAAGCGGUGGAGCAUGUGGUUUAAUUCGAAGCAACGCGAAGAACCUUACCAGGUCUUGACAUCCUCUGCCAAUCCUAGAGAUAGGACGUUCCCUUCGGGGACAGAGUGACAGGUGGUGCAUGGUUGUCGUCAGCUCGUGUCGUGAGAUGUUGGGUUAAGUCCCGCAACGAGCGCAACCCUUGAUCUUAGUUGCCAGCAUUAAGUUGGGCACUCUAAGGUGACUGCCGGUGACAAACCGGAGGAAGGUGGGGAUGACGUCAAAUCAUCAUGCCCCUUAUGACCUGGGCUACACACGUGCUACAAUGGAUGGUACAAAGGGUAGCGAAGCCGCAAGGUGGAGCCAAUCCCAUAAAACCAUUCUCAGUUCGGAUUGUAGGCUGCAACUCGCCUACAUGAAGCUGGAAUCGCUAGUAAUCGCGGAUCAGCAUGCCGCGGGAUACGAUCCCGGGGUGACACACCGC
Molecule: ribosomal RNA, 1363 nt
Filed under: uncultured bacterium
Lineage: Bacteria
Description: bacterial SSU rRNA
Rfam family: Bacterial small subunit ribosomal RNA
Source: RNAcentral